Molecule: transfer RNA, 58 nt
Filed under: Trapelus boehmei
Lineage: Eukaryota; Metazoa; Chordata; Lepidosauria; Squamata; Agamidae
Description: tRNA-Ser
Source: RNAcentral
AAGAAGACAAAUAGAACUGCUAAUUCUAUAAAACUGAAAAUAAACCAUCAGACUUCUU